UACGAAGGGGGCUAGCGUUGUUCGGAAUUACUGGGCGUAAAGGGCGCGUAGGCGGCCUGACAAGUCAGAGGUGAAAGUCCUGGGCUCAACCUGGGGACUGCCUUUGGAACUGUCGGGCUUGAGACCGGGAGAGGUGAGUGGAAUUCCCAGUGUAGAGGUGAAAUUCGUAGAUAUUGGGAAGAACACCAGUGGCGAAGGCGGCUCACUGGACCGGUUCUGACGCUGAGGCGCGAAAGCGUGGGGAGCAAACAGG
RNAcentral lists this ribosomal RNA (253 nucleotides) under uncultured bacterium. RNAcentral describes it as "partial 16S ribosomal RNA". It matches the Rfam family "Bacterial small subunit ribosomal RNA", at positions 524 to 776 of the family's 1533-position model. The record is from RNAcentral.